Molecule: ribosomal RNA, 517 nt
Filed under: Fusarium oxysporum
Lineage: Eukaryota; Fungi; Ascomycota; Sordariomycetes; Hypocreales; Nectriaceae
Description: eukaryotic LSU rRNA
Rfam family: 5.8S ribosomal RNA (bases 151-304)
Source: RNAcentral
GGGGUACGAGCUUAAUCUCCCAACCCCUGUGACAUACCACUUGUUGCCUCGGCGGAUCAGCCCGCUCCCGGUAAAACGGGACGGCCCGCCAGAGGACCCCUAAACUCUGUUUCUAUAUGUAACUUCUGAGUAAAACCAUAAAUAAAUCAAAACUUUCAACAACGGAUCUCUUGGUUCUGGCAUCGAUGAAGAACGCAGCAAAAUGCGAUAAGUAAUGUGAAUUGCAGAAUUCAGUGAAUCAUCGAAUCUUUGAACGCACAUUGCGCCCGCCAGUAUUCUGGCGGGCAUGCCUGUUCGAGCGUCAUUUCAACCCUCAAGCACAGCUUGGUGUUGGGACUCGCGUUAAUUCGCGUUCCUCAAAUUGAUUGGCGGUCACGUCGAGCUUCCAUAGCGUAGUAGUAAAACCCUCGUUACUGGUAAUCGUCGCGGCCACGCCGUUAAACCCCAACUUCUGAAUGUUGACCUCGGAUCAGGUAGGAAUACCCGCUGAACUUAAGCAUAUCAAUAGCCGGAGGAA